ACCCCUGCUUGUAUUAAUAAACAUGCAGGUUUUGUUACUUACUGAUCAUGUUGAAGGAAUGCCAGUUUUAAACUGCCUGAAAUACCUGUGGCGAGGGGAAACACACUCUUGUACUCUUGUAACCUCGGUUUCUGUCUCUCUCCCUCUACACUUUCCAUGAGCGGGAUUCUUUUUCUUCUUUUCUUGUCAGUUAUUUCCACCAUUACCUGGUGACAGGGACCAGGGAAAACAAUACCUCUUCCUGUUUUGGAUGUGUAAUGGCAGAUGCUUCCUUCGUGCUGUGCAUUUUUGCAGGAACAAUCGAACGAGAUCAUUACACUAAUCAGAAUUUACUUCCAAAUGAUAAGUCAGAACCACCCAGAAACAGGAAGAAGGACUGCAGUGAAGAGCAAAACAAGGGAGGGAGAGAUUCAGCUGAGGACGCGCUGAGUUUUGAAGUAAAGAUUUCUGGGUUUAUGAAAGGAAAAUUUUCCUUCUAUGGAUGUUGUAAAGAUUUGCCAUUAAACCAGGAUGA
This is a long non-coding RNA of Acanthopagrus latus (yellowfin seabream), 514 nucleotides long. RefSeq lists it as uncharacterized. The record is from RefSeq and is a predicted model, not a curated record. NCBI's taxonomy places the organism in Eukaryota, Metazoa, Chordata, Actinopteri, Spariformes, Sparidae. The transcript is spliced from 3 exons.